RNAcentral lists this non-coding RNA (78 nucleotides) under Strombidium rassoulzadegani. The record is from RNAcentral. Lineage: Eukaryota; Ciliophora; Spirotrichea; Strombidiidae.
GGAAGAGGAUUUGAAAUUAAUCAAGGCUGCCCUUUCCAAGCUCAGAAUUGGCGAGAGGAGAGUGAUGGAGGGAGGGAG